UUGAAAGGGAAACGAUUGAAGUCAGUCGUACCGACGGAAAAUCAGCUCUUUGAGUGCGGACUUGUGGGUUUACGUGAGCUUUACGGCCUCGUUGUUUGCAAUGUUCGUUCUUUUUGGGUGUACUUUUUCGUAUGGUAGGCCAACAUCAGUUUCAAUCGCUAUAAAAUGACCGGCGGAAUGUAGCUUCGAUCUCGUAUUGAAGUGUUAUAGCCUCUGGUAGAUGUGGUGAUUGGGACUGAGGAUUGCAACGAAUACCUUCUGGGCUAUCCGUCUGAUCUCUGAAAGUUGCUUAGGUGCCGAAAGCGUGCUUACGGUUAUUUAAGUUGACGGUCAAAAGGUUAGAACGUGAUUAUAUUCGUUAAGGAUGUUGACGUA
Molecule: ribosomal RNA, 375 nt
Filed under: uncultured Glomeromycotina
Lineage: Eukaryota; Fungi; Glomeromycota
Description: LSU rRNA
Source: RNAcentral